GCAGAUGUGGCAGAGUGGUCUAAUGCGUCGGCCUUGAGAGCCGAUUCGCCGUAUGGCGAGCAGGAGUUCAAAUCUCCUCAUCUGCG
This 86-nucleotide transfer RNA is filed under the name Candidatus Nitrosocosmicus sp. RNAcentral describes it as "tRNA-Ser". It matches the Rfam family "tRNA". Rfam says of the family: Transfer RNA (tRNA) molecules are approximately 80 nucleotides in length. Their secondary structure includes four short double-helical elements and three loops (D, anti-codon, and T loops). Further hydrogen bonds mediate the characteristic L-shaped molecular structure. tRNAs have two regions of fundamental functional importance: the anti-codon, which is responsible for specific mRNA codon recognition, and the 3' end, to which the tRNAs corresponding amino acid is attached (by aminoacyl-tRNA synthetases). tRNAs cope with the degeneracy of the genetic code in two manners: having more than one tRNA (with a specific anti-codon) for a particular amino acid; and 'wobble' base-pairing, i.e. permitting non-standard base-pairing at the 3rd anti-codon position. Lineage: Archaea; Thermoproteati; Nitrososphaerota; Nitrososphaeria; Nitrososphaerales; Nitrososphaeraceae. The record is from RNAcentral.